GGGUUGUGAGGUUAAGCGACUAAGCGUACACGGUGGAUGCCCUGGCAGUCAGAGGCGAUGAAGGGCGUGCUAAUCUGCGAUAAGCGCCGGUAAGGUGAUAUGAACCGUUAUAACCGGCGAUACCCGAAUGGGGAAACCCAGUGUGACUCGUCACACUAUCAUUAACUGAAUCCAUAGGUUAAUGAGGCGAACCGGGGGAACUGAAACAUCUAAGUACCCCGAGGAAAAGAAAUCAACCGAGAUUCCCCCAGUAGCGGCGAGCGAACGGGGAGGAGCCCAGAGCCUGAAUCAGCAUGUGUGUUAGUGGAAGCGUCUGGAAAGGCGCGCGAUACAGGGUGACAGCCCCGUACACAAAAGCGCAUGUGCUGUGAGCUCGAUGAGUAGGGCGGGACACGUGGUAUCCUGUCUGAAUAUGGGGGGACCAUCCUCCAAGGCUAAAUACUCCUGACUGACCGAUAGUGAACCAGUACCGUGAGGGAAAGGCGAAAAGAACCCCGGCGAGGGGAGUGAAAAAGAACCUGAAACCGUGUACGUACAAGCAGUGGGAGCACCCUUUGGGUGUGACUGCGUACCUUUUGUAUAAUGGGUCAGCGACUUAUAUUCUGUAGCAAGGUUAACCGAAUAGGGGAGCCGGAGGGAAACCGAGUCUUAAUUGGGCGUUAAGUUGCAGGGUAUAGACCCGAAACCCGGUGAUCUAGCCAUGGGCAGGUUGAAGGUUGGGUAACACUAACUGGAGGACCGAACCGACUAAUGUUGAAAAAUUAGCGGAUGACCUGUGGCUGGGGGUGAAAGGCCAAUCAAACCGGGAGAUAGCUGGUUCUCCCCGAAAGCUAUUUAGGUAGCGCCUCGUGAAUUCAUCUCCGGGGGUAGAGCACUGUUUCGGCUAGGGGGCCAUCCCGGCUUACCAACCCGAUGCAAACUGCGAAUACCGGAGAAUGUUAUCACGGGAGACACACGGCGGGUGCUAACGUCCGUCGUGAAGAGGGAAACAACCCAGACCGCCAGCUAAGGUCCCAAAGUCAUGGUUAAGUGGGAAACGAUGUGGGAAGGCCCAGACAGCCAGGAUGUUGGCUUAGAAGCAGCCAUCAUUUAAAGAAAGCGUAAUAGCUCACUGGUCGAGUCGGCCUGCGCGGAAGAUGUAACGGGGCUAAACCAUGCACCGAAGCUGCGGCAGCGACACUGUGUGUUGUUGGGUAGGGGAGCGUUCUGUAAGCCUGCGAAGGUGGCCUGUGAGGGUUGCUGGAGGUAUCAGAAGUGCGAAUGCUGACAUAAGUAACGAUAAAGCGGGUGAAAAGCCCGCUCGCCGGAAGACCAAGGGUUCCUGUCCAACGUUAAUCGGGGCAGGGUGAGUCGACCCCUAAGGCGAGGCCGAAAGGCGUAGUCGAUGGGAAACGGGUUAAUAUUCCCGUACUUGGUGUUACUGCGAAGGGGGGACGGAGAAGGCUAUGUUGGCCGGGCGACGGUUGUCCCGGUUUAAGCGUGUAGGUGUGUGUUCCAGGUAAAUCCGGUUCACUUUAACACUGAGGCGUGACGACGAGGCACUACGGUGCUGAAGCAACAAAUCGCCCUGCUUCCAGGAAAAGCCUCUAAGCAUCAGGUAACAUCAAAUCGUACCCCAAACCGACACAGGUGGUCAGGUAGAGAAUACCAAGGCGCUUGAGGAGAACUCGGGUGAAGGAACUAGGCAAAAUGGUGCCGUAACUUCGGGAGAAGGCACGCUGACACGUAGGUGAAGUGAUUUACUCAUGGAGCUGAAGUCAGUCGAAGAUACCAGCUGGCUGCAACUGUUUAUUAAAAACACAGCACUGUGCAAACACGAAAGUGGACGUAUACGGUGUGACGCCUGCCCGGUGCCGGAAGGUUAAUUGAUGGGGUCAGCGCAAGCGAAGCUCCUGAUCGAAGCCCCGGUAAACGGCGGCCGUAACUAUAACGGUCCUAAGGUAGCGAAAUUCCUUGUCGGGUAAGUUCCGACCUGCACGAAUGGCGUAAUGAUGGCCAGGCUGUCUCCACCCGAGACUCAGUGAAAUUGAACUCGCUGUGAAGAUGCAGUGUACCCGCGGCAAGACGGAAAGACCCCGUGAACCUUUACUAUAGCUUGACACUGAACAUUGAGCCUUGAUGUGUAGGAUAGGUGGGAGGCUUUGAAGUGUGGACGCCAGUCUGCAUGGAGCCGACCUUGAAAUACCACCCUUUAAUGUUUGAUGUUCUAACGUGGACCCGUUACCCGGGUUGCGGACAGUGUCUGGUGGGUAGUUUGACUGGGGCGGUCUCCUCCUAAAGAGUAACGGAGGAGCACGAAGGUUGGCUAAUCCUGGUCGGACAUCAGGAGGUUAGUGCAAUGGCAUAAGCCAGCUUGACUGCGAGCGUGACGGCGCGAGCAGGUGCGAAAGCAGGUCAUAGUGAUCCGGUGGUUCUGAAUGGAAGGGCCAUCGCUCAACGGAUAAAAGGUACUCCGGGGAUAACAGGCUGAUACCGCCCAAGAGUUCAUAUCGACGGCGGUGUUUGGCACCUCGAUGUCGGCUCAUCACAUCCUGGGGCUGAAGUAGGUCCCAAGGGUAUGGCUGUUCGCCAUUUAAAGUGGUACGCGAGCUGGGUUUAGAACGUCGUGAGACAGUUCGGUCCCUAUCUGCCGUGGGCGCUGGAGAACUGAGGGGGGCUGCUCCUAGUACGAGAGGACCGGAGUGGACGCAUCACUGGUGUUCGGGUUGUCAUGCCAAUGGCACUGCCCGGUAGCUAAAUGCGGAAGAGAUAAGUGCUGAAAGCAUCUAAGCACGAAACUUGCCCCGAGAUGAGUUCUCCCUGAGACUUAGAGUCUCCUGAAGGAACGUUGAAGACGACGACGUUGAUAGGCCGGGUGUGUAAGCGCAGCGAUGCGUUGAGCUAACCGGUACUAAUGAACCGUGAGGCUUAACCUUACAACGCCGAAG
Molecule: ribosomal RNA, 2927 nt
Filed under: Salmonella enterica subsp. enterica serovar Enteritidis str. EC20110356
Lineage: Bacteria; Pseudomonadati; Pseudomonadota; Gammaproteobacteria; Enterobacterales; Enterobacteriaceae
Description: bacterial LSU rRNA
Rfam family: Bacterial large subunit ribosomal RNA
Source: RNAcentral